GGUGGGGUGGCUGGAGAACGGGAGCCCGGCUGCAAGCCCUCUGUUCCCCUCUGCAGCGUCGAACCCGGCAAGUGCAGGAAGCAUCUGGACUGCCCAGCCCUGGGCCACGGCACUCGGAGGAUGUGCCUGAGGAGAGGACGUUCAGCGAGUGAAGGUUUGCGAGGAGACGCCCAGGGGGCAAAUAAAGCCAGGCCACAGCACAGGAGCCCCAUCCUGGCAGCCGGCCUUGGCCGCCAGCACCUGUGUCCGGAGUCGGGUCCGCCCGUCCUCGCCGCGCGCGCCCCGGCCAGUCCAGCCUCACCAUGCCGGUCAAAGGAGGCACGAAGUGGAUCAAGUACCUGCUCUUCGGAUUUAACUUCAUC
Molecule: long non-coding RNA, 362 nt
Organism: Galeopterus variegatus (Sunda flying lemur)
Lineage: Eukaryota; Metazoa; Chordata; Mammalia; Dermoptera; Cynocephalidae
Exons: 3
Source: RefSeq, a predicted model, not a curated record